AUUCGUGGCUACAGAACGAACGCUGGCGGCGCGUUUUAAGCAUGCAAGUCGAGCGGCAAGGGCCUUCGGGCCCCUAGAGCGGCGGACGGGUGAGUAACACGUGGACAAUCUGCCCCCCGGCCCGGGAUAGCCCAGGGAAACCUGGAUUAAUACCGGAUGAGACGGGACCCGCGAUGGCGGGACCCGGGAAAGGCGCUGCGGCGCCGCCGGGGGAUGAGUCUGCGUCCCAUUAGCUAGACGGCGGGGUAACGGCCCACCGUGGCGACGAUGGGUAGCCGGCCUGAGAGGGUGGACGGCCACAUUGGAACUGAGACACGGUCCAGACUCCUACGGGAGGCAGCAGCUAAGAAUCUUCCGCAAUGGGCGAAAGCCUGACGGAGCGACGCCCGCGUGAACGAAGAAGGCCGUGAGGUUGUAAAGUUCUUUUCGGGAGGGGGAACAACCGUGGCAGGGAAUGGCCGCGGGAUGACGUGAAUCCCGGAAUAAGCCCCGGCUAACUACGUGCCAGCCGCAGC
This 515-nucleotide ribosomal RNA is filed under the name uncultured bacterium. Its description in RNAcentral is "bacterial SSU rRNA". It matches the Rfam family "Bacterial small subunit ribosomal RNA", at positions 1 to 518 of the family's 1533-position model. The record is from RNAcentral.